UACAUAGGGUGCAAGCGUUGUCCGGAUUUAUUGGGCGUAAAGAGCUCGUAGGCGGCACGGUAAGUCAGAAGUUAAAACGCAGAGCUCAACUCUGCGUCGCUUUUGAUACUGCCGAGCUUGAGUAUGGCAGGGGAGAUUGGAAUUCCACGUGUAGCGGUGAAAUGCGCAGAUAUGUGGAGGAACACCAGUGGCGAAGGCGAAUCUCUGGGCCAUUACUGACGCUGAGGAGCGAAAGCGUGGGGAGCGAACAGG
This 252-nucleotide ribosomal RNA is filed under the name uncultured bacterium. RNAcentral describes it as "partial 16S ribosomal RNA". It matches the Rfam family "Bacterial small subunit ribosomal RNA", at positions 524 to 776 of the family's 1533-position model. The record is from RNAcentral.